GUCGAACGGAGAUAUCAUUUUCGAAGCGAUUAGUUUACUAAGAGUCGAUAUGUUGAUAUCUUAGUGGCGGACGGGUGAGUAACGCGUGGGUAACCUGCCUUACACUGGGGGAUAACACUUAGAAAUAGGUGCUAAUACCGCAUAAUGAGAGGAGACGCAUGUCUUCUGUCUGAAAACUCCGGUGGUGUAAGAUGGACCCGCGUCUGAUUAGCCAGUUGGCGGGGUAACGGCCCACCAAAGCGACGAUCAGUAGCCGGCCUGAGAGGGUGAACGGCCACAUUGGGACUGAGACACGGCCCAAACUCCUACGGGAGGCAGCAGUGGGGAAUAUUGGACAAUGGGGGGAACCCUGAUCCAGCGACGCCGCGUGAGUGAAGAAGUAUUUCGGUAUGUAAAGCUCUAUCAGCAGGGAAGAAAAUGACGGUACCUGACUAAGAAGCCCCGGCUAAAUACGUGCCAGCAGCCGCGGUAAUACGUAUGGGGCAAGCGUUAUCCGGAUUUACUGGGUGUAAAGGGAGCGCAGGCGGCUUGGCAAGUCUGAUGUGAAAGGCUGGGGCUCAACCCCAGGACUGCAUUGGAAACUGUUAGGCUGGAGUGUCGGAGAGGUAAGCGGAAUUCCUAGUGU
RNAcentral lists this ribosomal RNA (625 nucleotides) under uncultured bacterium. RNAcentral describes it as "bacterial SSU rRNA". It matches the Rfam family "Bacterial small subunit ribosomal RNA", at positions 61 to 676 of the family's 1533-position model. The record is from RNAcentral.